This is a long non-coding RNA of Macadamia integrifolia, 4207 nucleotides long. RefSeq lists it as uncharacterized. The record is from RefSeq and is a predicted model, not a curated record. The transcript has 2 exons. Lineage: Eukaryota; Viridiplantae; Streptophyta; Magnoliopsida; Proteales; Proteaceae.
CCUCAUUUGUGUUGAUCUGUUUCCAAAUGUGGUGAUCUAGUGAAGCUUGUUUGCUUGGCACAUUCAUAUACACCGAAUUGUCUAGGGUUUUAGGGCAUCUGUGAAUGUCUACCUACCGGAUGGAGUUACUCAUGCCUGGGGUUGGGGGCCAAAUUUUGGAGGCUUUUCUCCUCCAAGCUUCCUUUUAGACCAAAGUUUGACUCCACGAGAUCAUUCUAAUAAUAUGUUAUGUCAUGUAGUUUUGAGCAGCAAAACAUUCCCAUUUUAUUCCAAGAUGGAGUUGUAGGCUUUGAAGCCUGGUUUGUAAGAAGGUUCUUUGCCAGGUGAAUGGCUGAUUUUGAAAAUCCAGAAUUUCUGGCUAAUAGAGAAUAAUCAGGGUUAAAUACUUAUAUCCAGAACUUUUGUAGGCUCAACUGGCUGCUGCAUAUAUCCUUGUAAGGAGUGAUUUGGUUUAUACAUGAGCAGACACGUGAUUUAUAAGUAAUUAUGCUAUUUUCUAUGAUGACCAAAAUACCCCUUACAAGGUGGUAUCUAGCAUCCUCCAUGUCGUUAUUGGGUCUGUAGAGGCCUCUAUGUUGAUGCGUAUCAAACAAGAGAAAGAAAAAUGGGUGUCUUUUUGGUUUUUGCCACAUGGGUUGAAGAUUUUUAGGAUGAAUUUGACCACAGGGAAGGAGGCUAGGUGGCAAAAAUGGGAGUUGUUUUGCCACAUGGUGAGAGUUUUUUAGGAUGAAUUCGACCACAUGGAAGAAGUAUUGAUGGUAAUAAUGUGGAUCACUUUUGAGCGACCGACAUGUCCCUGUAAAACUUAAGGGAAAAUUCUGUAGGAUAUAUGUACACUCGGCUAUGAUAUGGGGCCGAAUGUGGGGUAGUUAAGAAACAACAUAUUGAUAAGUUAUUUGUCGCGGAGAUGAGAAUGUUAAGAUGGGUGUGCGGGAAAACUGUGAAGGAUAAGGUAAAGAGUGAAAGCAUUAGAGCGGAUUCUGGACUCGCCUUAAUCCAUGAUAAAAUUUCGGAAAGUCGUUUGAGAUGGUAUGGCCGUGUUCAAUAGAGGACAUCAGAUGCACCAGUAAGGUGAAGUGAUCUGAUCCAAAUAGAAGGAUGUUCAACCUGCCAAUGAUUACAAAAUUUAGAUGGUCGAUGAUGAAUGAGCCACCAACGUGGGAACAUAGAAAAUCAAUUUAAUGCAGUGUGUGCAUGGUAAACGAUGAUACUACACAUGAUGCAGUAACACUUGUGUUGGCUUGAACCAGAUUGGAGGCCCAGUUAUAGAACUGGGUCCAAGUUUGGGUUUUGGGACCAGUAGAACAUUUAGGCUUUAAUUUGGGAAUAAUAGUGUAAUCUUUUUAUUUUGGGGGAGAUAGCUAUGUAGUUGUUUCAAGCUUUCCUAUAUUUUGUUUUAAUUCCUAGAUUGAAUUAGUUUCCAUUUUUGAUGAAGUCUUUCUUAUUAAUAUAGAUAUAAUAAACACAAUUUGUAGUUGAUUGAAUAUGGAAUAUUGAGUGUCGUUGAGUGUGCCUGUGUUUCUGUGCCUCCCCUCUUAUCUCUUCCCUGCGUUUCAGAACUUCCUAUCGCCAGGUUGUUCUUCAUCCCAACUUCUUUCCUUGUUUCUCCUUCGUCUUUGCUUUUAAUAUUUUUUUAGUAUUGCUACCCUGUCCUGGCAUGACCUUGGGUCCAGCAAAGAGUGCAUCAAUCUCUCUCGAUUCUUCACUAAUGAGAUUCAAAACCCUGGGGUUUGAAUCAUACCCUCAAGGUGGUCCUACAUGGAAUUACCUGCUGGAUAUCAAACUAGAAUCAAGAUUUAUACACUGAAACUCUCGCCUGGAAUAGUUUCAGGAGUAUCUUUUAUUUAUUUAUACUUUCAGAUAUCUGAUUGAUCUGCCUGUUAGUUGAGUUUGAGAAAGUUUUGUGUUACCUACCUAACUCCAAAGUUCCCAAUUGAUUGGGUUGCAGUGCUUGAGUUCCAUUGAUCACACUUGAGAAGGGUUGCCGCUGGUUCUUUCUCUACCAUUUAACCCCACUCGCAGAAACUUUUUUCUGCUCUCAUCUCCAACCUCUGGUCCUCUUAUUGGCUGAAAUCAAUGGAUCUUAGGGUUAGCUAUCAAUCCUUAAACCUUCAACUUGUUUGGAGUUGUGUGUGAAGAGGAGUAUUCAUCGCAAGCUGAUGCAGUUCAAGGAAGCAGACUACUGUUCACGUGUUACUGUUCACAUGAUACUAUUCAUGUGGUACUGGUCACAUGAACAGUGAUACUGUUCAUAAAUGGCCAUCAUUGUAUGCUUCAGUUUUAGGAAUAUGGACAGCUGGCAUUCUUAAGAGAUGCUGCCAAAAUUCUCUAGGAUAUUAUAUCUUAGUUUCUAUUUUCAGUGGUUACUAUUUUCUUGUAUUGCUAUUGAAUAAUUAGCUAGAGUUUCUAUUUUGAUGUUAGUUACUAUUUUUUAGUUAGCUUGGCAGCAAAGUAUUGUCCCCUCGUUAUUGGGAAUUGUUAAUUUUGUAAUGAUGAUUUGAAGAUUAUAAAUAAAGAGGAUGGACUCCUUCUGCCCACUAUUUUGGUUGAGGCAAAUGCUUUUUGAGUAUGGUGAGCUGUGGUGAAUCAGCCACGUCCAUUGGUGGUGAAACCAUGGGGGGAGGGUAGUGAUGCCCAACCACAAGCGUAGGUGGUGAUACCUACGGUCAUAUCCCUUUUCUCUUUUUCCAUUAAAGCAUCUGUCGAUCUUUGAUGGGACCCUUGGAGGUGAUCUCAUAUUCUGCCAGUGGUUUAAACUUGCUUUUAUUCUGUUAUUACUGUGGUCACAAUCCCCUUUGUUAACCCUUUCUAAUCUGUCAGAUUUACUCUUAGUUUUAGCACCCUACGAUUUCUAGCGAAGGCCAUAUUCUGUCUCAGAUUUCAGUCCUGUUUUCUAGAUAUCCAACCGUCAGAUGAGCCUCCUGUUUUGAGGGCUUAUUAUUCCAUAUAGCACUUUCCUUCAACCUAACUUUGAGUCCCAUCAAUUUUUGGAUAUGGAGUUAUUCAUCUAUGUUCUGUCUCUUACUUUCUAAUUCUGUUCUAAUGAGUUUUCUGCAGAUCAGUCCGUUGAAUCAGCCCCAUCUGUGGAGCAUAUAACCAGGAGGAUUCUCACUCCAUUUUACCUGGUUUCAAGCCACACCUGAGUGCCGGUUAUCAAGUUAUUAGAAUUUGUAUAUUAUGUUCUGUUUACGCUACUGUUCUGGUCACUGUGAUUCUGUCCUGUGGUUUUGUUGUCGAUUAAUCUGUCCUACAGGUUAGCGUACUCCAUCACAAGCCUGCCUCCACUGCUGGUUCAGAAUUGGGAGAUGAAGGGCAAAGGGACUAUUUCAUCUUGCAGUCCAUGGUUGAGAUGUUAUCAAAGCCCAAUGAGAUCAUCAUCAGUCUGAGGAUGAUUCCCUUGUCCAAUUCUCCAUUUUACAAUAUUGUGAUGGUGCUUAUUGUGAGGUGUUUGAUUCUUCCAAGUGCAUUAUCAAAGCUGGUCACCAAUGGUUAGAAGCACGAAAGUGUGUAGUUGAUCGUGAUAGCAACAUGUGCUUCCUAAAGCCUAUACAUCUACAUCAUACAUUUAUUUUAAAAGGGCUGGUUGAUCAAGUAUGCUCGGAGCCCUAGGAUGUGGCACCAACAAUGCAACCAUAGGAAGAGCCGGAGGGCUCAACCCAAGAGGAAGACUGCUUUGAUGUGGGACAAUAAUUAAUGGUAAAGGGCGACAAGAUGGUUAUUGUGGGUGAGGCGAUAAUAAACUUUACUGCAACAACAGGUGUUCAUAUUGAGUUUGUUAUUACCCACAUAUUUUAAGACGGAUGCAACAUCGAAGCUCCAUAUUUUGGAUUCAGUUCAAGUUGCAAGCAAGGAGUAGCAAGCUCCCGUUAGAGUGUCUUUAUUUCUGCCAUUCCACAAAACUUGAGGAACAAUUUUUCUCAACACUGGGGGAAUUUAUGCAGUGAUGCUUGCGUGGGCCAGCUCAAAACCUAUUGGAGGCCAAACAAAGAACUGGGUCGAAGUUGGGUUUUGGGUCCAGUAGAAUAUGUAGGCUUUAAUUUAGGAAUUAUAUUGUAAUAUUUCUAUCUUUUGGAAGAAAGCUAUGUAGUUGUUUUUGGUUUCCUAUUUUAUUACUACCUAGAUUGAGUUAGUUUCCAUUUUUUGUUGAAGUCUUUCUUCUUUAUAUAGAUGUAACCAAUGCAAUUAAUAGUUGAUUGAAUAUGGAAUA